AUGAUGCCAAUGCCGCCACCGCCUUGUGAGAAAACUUGUUCCAGCCUAGUAAUUGAUGGUCAGAUGAGCAAGUUUAUCAACUCCCAGCUGGCUAAUGAUGAGAAUCAGCAGCUCGGGGUGGUGUCUAUUCACGGAUAUGGAUGUCUUGGUAAAACAAUGCUUGCCAAAGUGUUGUAUAAUAAAUUGGGGAGGCAAUUCCAUUGUCGGGCUUUCAUCCGGGUGUCCAAAAAGCCUGAUAUGAAAAGGCUUUUCCGCGACAUGCUCUCACAAAUCCAGCAGAAGCAUCCCCAAGCAAGCGAAGACGCUUCUGAUGAACUUCACAUUACUGCUGAAAAUAUCAGGAAUUAUCUACAUGCCAAGAGGUACCUAAUUGUUGUUGAUGAUUUAUGGGAUACAGCAGCAUGGGAUGUUAUUAAUCAGCUUUUCCCGAAGUGUAGUCAAGGAAGCAGAAUAAUAACAACUACACAGAUUGAAGAUGUUGCAUUAGCAUGUUGCAGCGUUGACCCAGAACAAGUUUUUAAGAUGAAUCCUUUGGAUGAUGAUCACUCAAGGAAGCUAUUCUUUGACAGGCUUUUUGGUUCUGAAAGUAACUGUCCUGAAGAAUUGAAACAAGUUUCAAGCCAAAUUAUAGAAAUAUGUGGUGGUUUGCCGCUAGCCACCGUCAGCAUUGCUAGUCUUUUAGCAAACCAGCCUUCUGUAUCAGUAGAUUUAUUAACACACAUACAUGAUUCAUUAGUGUCUUGUUUGUCAUCAAAUUCAACUUCAGAAAGAACGAGACAAGUACUGCACCUCAGCUACAACAGCCUUUCUCAUUACCUCAAGACAUGCUUGCUCCAGCUCCGUAUGUAUCCAGAGGGCUCCUUAAUCUUCAAACAUGAUCUGGUCAGGCAAUGGGUGGGUGAAGGUAUUAUUGCUACAAGAGAAGGGCAAGACACAGAGGAAGUCGCAGGAAUGUAUUUCGAUGAACUUGUUGAUAGAAGAUUCAUCCAACCUAUGUCUAUCAACUUCAACAAUGAGGUGAUGUCAUGCACAGUCCACGACGUGGUACAUGAUCUUAUUGCACACAAGUCUGCAGAAGAGAAUUUCAUUGUGGUACUAGAUCACAAUCGAAAGAUUUUGGCACUUUCUCAUAAGGUCCAUCGACUGUCUCUCCAACUUGGUGAUGCAAAAUAUGCCAAGAUACCAGCAAACAUCAGAAAGUCACAAGUACGUUCACUUGGAGUUUUUGGAUUAUCAGAGUGCAUGCCUUGCAUUGGAGAGUUCAAGCUUGUUCGUGUUCUGAACAUUCAUCUGUCUGGCCAUCAUAAUGGCGACCAAGAACUGGCUGUGGACCUCACUAGGAUAUCCGGACUAUUCCAUCUUAUAUAUCUGAAGAUUGUAUGUGAUGUCUGCAUAAGACUUCCAAACCGUAUGAGAGGGCUGCAGUGUUUGGAAACACUGGAUGUUAUGGAUACACCAAGUGGCACUUAUGUUCCAUGGGACAUUAUAUAUCUCACGCGCUUGUUGCACCUUAGUCUUCCUCCUCACACAAAUCUGCUGGAUUGGUCUUUCGGUGAUGAUCUAAGCCUUUGCAGGCCGAACCACCUGCAGGAUCUUUGCAUUUCUACACCGCCUUCUUCAGAUUACGACCAUCUGAAGAGAAGAAUGUAUGCUCUGGAUUAUUUAAUGUAUGGACAUGACAGCCUGAAAACUGUAAAACUGGUGGCUCACGGAUCCUCGGUUAGCUAUGGUGACACAUCAAAAGCAAGAGUUAGGUGGGUUUUGGAUAAACUUACCCACCAUGUCCAGAGAAUUGAGGUCUCACCGCACAUCCCCGUCAUAUUUUGCAAAAUGCAUUUGUGGGAUAUCCAACAUGGCAACCUGUGCAUUCUGAAGAUUGCAGUGGAUGGACUAUCAGUAAAUGAUGUUGAUAUUCUUAGCGGGUUGCCUGCCCUCACUGCUAUGUCAUUGUAUGUGCAGAAGUCACCUAAUAUUAAGAUAAUAUUUUGCAUGGGGGCUGGAUUCACAGCUCUCAAGUACUUGAAGCUGAGGUUCAUGAGUGGAAUAGCUUGGCUAAAAUUUGAGGCGGACGCAAUGCCUAAUCUCUGGAAGCUCAGGCUCGUUUUCGACGCCAUCCCCCAAAUGGACCAACGACUUGAUCUUUAUUCAGAGGGUGACCAGUGGACACAAUAUCGACAUGGUAAUGCAUUAAUCAACAUCGAGUAUAUGGCACGCCUUAGAGAGGUCUCCGCAAAAUUUGAGGGCGCAGCUGCCUAUCUGAAGUAUGUGUCGAGGAUAGGGAUAGUUAGCAAUCAUCCGAGCAAUGCUAUAAUCAACGUGCAACUAGUGGAUUCUGGUUCCCAUGGCGAUAAAAGGAUAUCAUCAACGUCACCGGAGUCCACUUCCUGCCCGCUGCAUGUUCCAGGUAUGAGCGGGAGCUGGUGGACAUGGAGCAAUAUCAUUGGUGCGAUAGGUCGUGACCUCUUCAUCUAUUGCCUCCACCGGCUGUCCAGGUGGGACUAUGGUGCCAUCGCCUCCCUGAACCAUGAUUUCAAUUCGGUGGUUCGCAACGGGGACAUCUACCGUCUACGUCGCAAAAAUGGGGUGGCGGAACACUGGCUCUACCUCCCUUGCCGUAAUCUCCACGAGUGGGAGGCUUAUGACCCGUCCACUGGGCGCUGGAUCCAUGUGCCCAAGAUUCCACCGGCUGAAAGCUCCUACUGGGACUCUCUUGCUGUAGGAACCGAGCUGCUGGUGUUUGGGGACUUCGGAAGGGUUGCCUGGAGAUAUAGCAUCCUUACCAAUUCAUGGACAUGGCUGGCGGAUGAGAUGAAUACUCCGCGGUACUGCUUUGGGUCAGCAAGUGUCGGGGAGAAGGCGUAUGUCGCGGGAGGCGCUGAUUCUUCUCAUAGUCACUUGAGCUCCGCAGAGAUGUAUGACUCAGAGACACACACUUGGACACUCCUUCCCAGCAUGAAUACAGCUAGGUUCGGAUGCUCUGGCGCGUUCAUGGACGGCAAGUUCUAUGUGAUUGGUGGUAUUACCAGCAGUCUUGAGGUAUUGACAUGCGGUGAGGAGUAUGACUUGAACUGGCGGUCAUGGAGGGUCAUCGACAAUAUAGCUCAGGGCCUCAACAAUACAGUUUUGGGUGCUCCUCCGCUCAUUGCAGUUGUGAAGAAUGAGCUUUAUGGCGCUGAUUACAGUGAGAAUAAUGAGUUGAAGCAGUAUGAUAAGCUGGACAACAAGUGGAUCACUCUUGGAAAAUUGCCUGUAGAGUCUAAGAGAAAGGGCUGCGACAUGGGUUUCCGAGCGUGUGGUGACCGGCUCAUUGUUAUUGGGCCUCCAAACAAUUCUACUAGUAAAGAGUUGGUUGAGCUUCAUUCAUGGACCCCUGAUAAGCAACAGCCUGUGUGGAAUUUGGUUGCAACACGGCAAUUUACCAAUAAGGGGCAGUUUUUGUACUGCACUGUGAUGUGUUGCUGA
RNAcentral lists this ribosomal RNA (3462 nucleotides) under Triticum aestivum (bread wheat). RNAcentral's name for it is "partial small subunit ribosomal RNA". The record is from RNAcentral. Lineage: Eukaryota; Viridiplantae; Streptophyta; Magnoliopsida; Poales; Poaceae.